GAGCGGCGAACGGGUGAGUAACACGUGAGUAACCUGCCCCCGACUCUGGGAUAAGCCCGCNGAAACUGGGUCUAAUACCGGAUACNACACCUCCCCGCAUGGGGUGGGUGUGGAAAGUUUUUCGGUUGGGGAUGGACUCGCGGCCUAUCAGCUUGUUGGUGGGGUAAUGGCCUACCAAGGCGACGACGGGUAGCCGGCCUGAGAGGGCGACCGGCCACACUGGGACUGAGACACGGCCCAGACUCCUACGGGAGGCAGCAGUGGGGAAUAUUGCGCAAUGGGCGAAAGCCUGACGCAGCGACGCCGCGUGGGGGAUGACGGCCUUCGGGUUGUAAACCUCUUUCAGCAGGGACGAAGUUGACGUGUACCUGCAGAAGAAGCGCCGGCUAACUACGUGCCAGCAGCCGCGGUAAUACGUAGGGCGCAAGCGUUGUCCGGAAUUAUUGGGCGUAAAGAGCUCGUAGGUGGCUUGUCACGUCGGGUGUGAAAGCUUGGGGCUUAACUCCAGGUCUGCAUUCGAUACGGGCUGGCUAGAGGUAGGUAGGGGAGAACGGAAUUCCU
This 561-nucleotide ribosomal RNA is filed under the name Streptosporangium sp. 319H04. Its description in RNAcentral is "bacterial SSU rRNA". It matches the Rfam family "Bacterial small subunit ribosomal RNA", at positions 93 to 671 of the family's 1533-position model. Lineage: Bacteria; Bacillati; Actinomycetota; Actinomycetes; Streptosporangiales; Streptosporangiaceae. The record is from RNAcentral.